UUAUAUACUAAUAUAUACUUAUAUUAUAUAUUAUAUAGUUUCUCGACCUACUCUUUCGUAUAACGAAUGAAAUAACAUAAAUCCCAUAACUUAACUGGUACCUAUUCCGACUUGUUAGGAUUUGAUGAAAUUCAAUGCGGAGAGAAAUCUCGUAGAUUUUUUCUCUUGUUAAAGGGUCUAUUCUUUUUUCCAUCAUUUUUAGAAAAGUCGACA
RNAcentral lists this long non-coding RNA (213 nucleotides) under Arachis ipaensis. RNAcentral's name for it is "long non-coding RNA (AIPA_LNC000363)". The record is from RNAcentral. Lineage: Eukaryota; Viridiplantae; Streptophyta; Magnoliopsida; Fabales; Fabaceae.